RNAcentral lists this unclassified non-coding RNA (212 nucleotides) under plant metagenome. RNAcentral's name for it is "partial contains small subunit ribosomal RNA, internal transcribed spacer 1, and 5.8S ribosomal RNA". The record is from RNAcentral.
UUUCCGUAGGUGAACCUGCGGAAGGAUCAUUCAUAAUAAGUGUUUUAUGGCACUUUUUUAAAUCCAUAUCCACCUGUGUGCAAUGUCAGGGUUGAUUUUUCUCUCGAGAGGAUCAGCCCCAAACAUCAACUAUAUCUCAACUCUUUGUCUGAAAAAUAUUAUGAAUAAAACAAUUCAGAAUACAACUUUCAACAACGGAUCUCUUGGCUCUC